Puccinia triticina 1-1 BBBD Race 1 is the source of this 86-nucleotide transfer RNA. It matches the Rfam family "tRNA". From Rfam's summary of the family: Transfer RNA (tRNA) molecules are approximately 80 nucleotides in length. Their secondary structure includes four short double-helical elements and three loops (D, anti-codon, and T loops). The record is from Rfam. NCBI's taxonomy places the organism in Eukaryota, Fungi, Basidiomycota, Pucciniomycetes, Pucciniales, Pucciniaceae.
GCGUCUGUAGUCUAGUUGGUAAAGGCAGCACUCUAGUAUGUGUCUCAGCAUAGCUGAGGUCGUGAGUUCGACUCUCACCAGACACA